CAGAGGGUGCAAACGUUGCUCGGAAUUACUGGGCGUAAAGCGCGUGUAGGCGGUCACGCAAGUCAGGUGUGAAAGCCCAGGGCUCAACCCUGGAAGUGCACAUGAUACUACGUGGCUGGAGUACUGAAGAGGAGAGCGGAAUUCCCGGUGUAGAGGUGAAAUUCGUAGAUAUCGGGAGGAACACCGGUGGCGAAGGCGGCUCUCUGGGCAGAUACUGACGCUGAGACGCGAAAGCGUGGGUAGCAAACAGGAUUAGAUACCCUGGUAGUCCACGCUGUAAACGAUGAGAACUGGGUGUCGUGGGUAUUGACCCCCGCGGUGCCGAAGCCAACGCGUUAAGUUCUCCGCCUGGGAAGUACGGCCGCAAGGCUA
RNAcentral lists this ribosomal RNA (372 nucleotides) under uncultured organism. RNAcentral's name for it is "bacterial SSU rRNA". It matches the Rfam family "Bacterial small subunit ribosomal RNA", at positions 526 to 896 of the family's 1533-position model. The record is from RNAcentral.